GACCGCAUAGCUCAGUUGGAAGAGCAUUGGGCUAGUAUCCCAAAGGUCGUAGGUUCGAAUCCCACCGUGGCCA
This is a non-coding RNA of Paramuricea clavata, 73 nucleotides long. The record is from the annotation of a GenBank genome assembly. Lineage: Eukaryota; Metazoa; Cnidaria; Anthozoa; Malacalcyonacea; Plexauridae.